GUCCCCUGGAAGCGGAGGGGUUGAGGAGGAAAGGAAGGUGAGGUGAUCCGCCUCGGAGCUCGUGCGGGCCGCCGCCGUCGCCGUCGCCAUGUCCCGCUACCGCUUGGGAGCCGCCCUGCUGCGGGCGGUGGGCCCAAGGUCGCGUUUCCUGCAGGGGCCAGGCCUCUUUCAGCAAUGGAAGGCUCCCUCAGAAGGACAACCCUGCAGGCAAAUGGCCACCUCUAGUCUUGCAUGGCGCUACAACAAAACUCUCUACACCACCGUGGCAUUGAGCAUCUUUGCAGCUGGAAAUGCGUACUAUGGAUAUGAAAUUUUGAGGAGGGCCCGACAGCGUGAUGUGGACCGUGCAGAGAGGUAUGCGCGCAUGGAUGCCCAGAUCAAGGCACGUCACUAUUAAGGAGCUUGACAGCACCAGAAGUAAUAUCAACUAAAGCCACAUCCAAUUACUCAUCUCCCCUGGCUCUUCACUGUGGUAAAUAAAUCAAUUAAUAUGGGGAAUGUAACUCCAGAAUACAGAAACAGCCAUGAAGAUCAGUUGAGUACUGCAAUCAAAGAUUUGGUGGCAGUUUCCUUACUUUAAGCAUAAAACUUUUCACAGUGACACAGUUAUAUUUAGAAGCAGUGUCAAGUAAUAAAAACAUGUGGAAAGAA
Protobothrops mucrosquamatus (brown spotted pit viper) is the source of this 651-nucleotide long non-coding RNA. RefSeq lists it as uncharacterized. The record is from RefSeq and is a predicted model, not a curated record. The transcript is spliced from 4 exons. NCBI's taxonomy places the organism in Eukaryota, Metazoa, Chordata, Lepidosauria, Squamata, Viperidae.